This 159-nucleotide non-coding RNA is filed under the name Acetobacteraceae bacterium. RNAcentral describes it as "6S / SsrS RNA". It matches the Rfam family "6S / SsrS RNA". From Rfam's summary of the family: E. coli 6S RNA was the first non coding RNA to be sequenced, but its function was unknown until recently. It consists of 184 nucleotides that fold into an extended hairpin structure with a large single-stranded internal bulge. The 6S RNA specifically associates with RNA polymerase holoenzyme containing the sigma70 specificity factor. Lineage: Bacteria; Pseudomonadati; Pseudomonadota; Alphaproteobacteria; Acetobacterales; Acetobacteraceae. The record is from Rfam by way of RNAcentral.
CAGGAGCUGCCCGGUACGUUAUUCGCACAUCAACCUCUGGGCCGAUAAGCACUCCGAAGGGGGCCAGCACUGUUGCGAUCGUGGUCGCAUUAUCCGGUCACCCACCUGUUAAAGCAGGUCCGGGAGAGCUGAUUUGAAGACGGCCAUGGCGGCUCCGCU